UUUUACUACAAUUUUUCAUCACCUUUUUCCUUUUGAACUCCACGAAACUUGUCAUGAGCAACGUUGGAAAUUAGACCUAGAGCGACCCUCAAACAAGCACACCAUCUGCCGCCACUUGUACUCUAUGCUGUUACCUCCUUACAUAAAAGAGGCCGCCACUCGAAAGCCAAGUUUUCCUUGGUUUUACACCUGUUGUUUCAUCUUUAUUUAUAUUUUUAAUUAAGUACUUUGAUUUAGUUGAUAUCUUAUUGUUUUCUUCUGAAUGUACACUUCCUUUAUCAGUUUUUAUUCAAGUAUGACUGUUCCUAAAUUAUCUUUCUUCCAAUAUUGAGUCAGGUUUUACCAAAUGAGCAGAAGCCACCCCACAUGUAACUGGAUCUUGAUUCAGAGAAAAAUGCUUAAUUUUGCAGACGAUAUGUCGUAAUGGGCAUUGGAUUUUUGGAUAGCUUCAGUCUUGAAUUGAUUCUGAUUCUGGUUUCCAACUCUUGGUCGUGCGACGUCGUGGAGAUUGCCAUUUUUAUGAUGGCUGAUUCUGUUGCCUUCCAAAGUCAAGUGCUUAGCUUCUCAGCUGGUCCAGUAUUUUGGCUUGUUUGAUGGGCACGGAGGAGGUUCUCAGGAGUCUCGGUUACUGUGCAAGUCAAAAAGAAAAGAGGGUUUUCAUCUUUGUGUGAGUUCCGACGCCAGACCUUCACCAACGCAGUUUCACACGCGUAGACCACCGGCUGCCGUCCUUGCCUCCUCGCGUCGACGGUCCGAGUCGCACGCACUAGGUCUCUCCUAGCCACCCGUCGCCGCGCCGUCGGAGCGCCGCGCGUCGUUGCGUGGUCACCGCCGCUCAGAUCGACGCCUCAAACUCGAGCCAGCCGCCGUUCGUCCGCUUGGUCACGCCUCCACCGUCGGCUGGACAUCGCGUCAUCGUCCACGUGCUUGUGCCGUCGUUCGCUCGUUAGCCAACGCGCUGAAGACCCAGCCGUUUGUCCGAUCACACAACAGCUCGCGCCGGUCAUCCCGUCCGUCGUCAGCUCCGCCCACUCAUCUGCCACUGCCCCUCGCGCCGCCAGGCUUCAUGGCCGCUGGUUUCGCUGGAAUCUUGAGUUUGGGAAGUUUUUUUUUUGGUGGUUUUGAUGCAAGAUUGAAGUUUUCGAGAGGCGCUGAAGCAAUUUUGGUUUAAGUUACAUUUUGGAGUUAAUUUAGGAGCCACAAUUUCGGUAAAGUUAAAUUGGAGACAUUCAGAUUAUUUGAUUAAUUGGAAUUAGAUCCCAAAAGUUUUAAUUUAAAUUUUGAAUUUAUUAUUCUAGGUCUUUUUUUCAAGGUCUUGCUUGGCAAAGAAAAGAUAAACUUGUUUGAGUCAUUUGGAUUUAAUCUUGAGGUGAGUGAUCUUGUUACUUGAAUUGUCUAUGUAAUUUAGUUUUCGUUUGAGGAUAUAAGGUUGAUUGUAUUGAAUCACAUGAGAUUAAAUAAGUUGUGAGCAUGAUGAAUGUAGUUGCAUUUUAUGAGCCUAUGUUUAUGACGUAUGUUAUAUUUAUGUUAGUGAUAGUUGCACUUACUGCCAGUUAGAUGUCCAUUAGAGGUGGUGACUUUCUUCGAGAUUUCACUAGAGGUUUGUGUUUCCUUCGGAUUCACUAGAGGUUUGUGUUUCUUCAUUAGAGGUUGUGUUUCCUACAAGAUUCCCCAGAGGUGGUUGGUGAGCUCCUUCAGGACUUCACCAUAGGUUUGCGUUUUCUUUGGAAUUCACCAUAGGUUUGUGUUUUCUUUGGAUUCAGCAGAGGUUCGUGUUUUCUUUGGGAUUCAUGGGUACUCUUAAACUACGGUAGGGUGAAUUCGGUUAGUCAUUUAUGUACGUCCCACUAGAGGAUGACAUCUAGAGGACAUAGAAAUCUAUGAUCGAGCUACUUGUUGGUUUACAGAAACACGAAGAAAACCAUUCUAAUUCCUCAAAUGUGACUUCAAA
Benincasa hispida (wax gourd) is the source of this 1951-nucleotide non-coding RNA. NCBI's taxonomy places the organism in Eukaryota, Viridiplantae, Streptophyta, Magnoliopsida, Cucurbitales, Cucurbitaceae. The record is from RefSeq and is a predicted model, not a curated record.